RNAcentral lists this transfer RNA (78 nucleotides) under Thermoprotei archaeon. RNAcentral's name for it is "tRNA-Glu". It matches the Rfam family "tRNA". From Rfam's summary of the family: Transfer RNA (tRNA) molecules are approximately 80 nucleotides in length. Their secondary structure includes four short double-helical elements and three loops (D, anti-codon, and T loops). Lineage: Archaea; Thermoproteati; Thermoproteota; Thermoprotei. The record is from RNAcentral.
GCCCCGGUAGACGAAUUGGAUACAGUCGCCAGCCUUUCAAGCUGGGAUAUGCGGGUUCGAGUCCUGUCCGGGGUACCA